Long non-coding RNA from Hevea brasiliensis (rubber tree), 1392 nucleotides. RefSeq lists it as uncharacterized. The record is from RefSeq and is a predicted model, not a curated record. NCBI's taxonomy places the organism in Eukaryota, Viridiplantae, Streptophyta, Magnoliopsida, Malpighiales, Euphorbiaceae. The transcript is spliced from 2 exons.
AAACCCAAACCCGCCACCCCAACCCUAUGCCCUUCUCUUCAGUUUCAGAGAUAGAUGCGUGCGUGCGAGUGUGAAUUUUUGGCAUCAGAAACGAGGGUUGAAAAAAAGGGAUAGAGAGAGAGAGAGAGAGAGAGAGACACUGGAUAGGGAAAAGACUGAAGAGGGGUUUGAGGGUUUCGUCAGGAACGAGGGGCAAGGAAGAGUAGUAACUAUGAUGAUCCUUUGAUCCUUCCAACUAUAUAUGCCCUAUUUGCCCCACUUCCCCGAUUGCACAGAAAGAUAAUGGAAUGAACCAUCUAAUCCAAUCUGAUUAAUUUAUUAUUUGUCUCUGGUCUCUUUGAGUCUUAAGCCUCUCUUCUUCCUCUUCUUCUUCACUUUUCAAUUGAUUACACCCAUCAACCUCCACCACCCUUGCUCCUGUCUCUCUCUCUCUCUCUCUCUCUCUCUCUCAUUCUCAUUUACUGUGCUGCUUUCCUCGCAUCUUAAAUAAACCCAUCUGCCUCAUCUAUCUCUGUUGUCCAAAAAAUUGUUACUACACCAUCCAUGGCCUUUUUUCUAUGUGUUUGUGUCGUCCUGCGGUGGUGAAUACAAGGGACAGUUUUGGCUUUCAUGGGGGUUUAAUAAAGGGUUACUUACAGAGUUUAUUGGCAUUCUGUCCACCUCCCCUCUAUAGAAAUCUCCUCUCUUUCGGAUAUGGAGGUGGGCAUACUGCCAACUGAGCUCUGUUGGUCUCUCUUUGUAAAACCCUCGUGAUCAUGUAUCCUUCAGUUGAUUACUCGGUUCUCUCUCCCCUGUGAGACUGAUCGAGGAGAGGAGGGAAAUAGUGGAAAGAAAGGACUAUAUAUAUACCUAUAUAUCUUAAAAGGUACUUCCUUUUAUCAUCUAAAGUAUUGCUGCAAUUUUUCAAUUAUCUGCGAAAUAUUGUUCAUAUAAAGUUUUAAGCAACAUCAUGCACAAGUCUUCAGUUUGGUUUUUCACUUUCUCUAGAUCUUCGUAUGUGGAUUCUAGUUGGGAACUUCCUUUUACCAUCUUUUUCUUUUCCCUUUUCUUUUCAGUUUCUGGUUUUGUUUGUUUCCUUCUAAUUCAUCAAACAGUACAUGCAUAAUCUGCUUUCGUUUAUGUCUCUUCCGAUCUAGGGUUUUAUCUGUCUUUUUCUUUUCUUGCUCCAAGUCAGGGAAUUAGGGCUCAAGAUUGAAAUGGAUUCGAGGGUAUGAACUAUGAAGGUCUAGUCUUUACUUCUUAAGUCGAAAAUCUGUUCGUGAAGGCCAAAACUGCGUGACUCCAUGACAAGGGUUUUUGGAUUAAAGCUGUUAAUUUGUAAAUAGUCUUAUCAUCUGUACUUGUGUAUGUUAAUUAUUAGAUGGCAAUCAAAGGUGGAGAUUUUAUUGUUCA